AUUGAACGCUGGCGGCAUGCCUAACACAUGCAAGUCGAACGGCAGCAUGAUAAGAGCUUGCUCUUAUUGAUGGCGAGUGGCGGACGGGUGAGUAAUAUGUAGGAAUCUACCUAGAGGAGGGGGAUAACUUAGGGAAACUUAAGCUAAUACCACAUAAGCCCUACGGGGGAAAGCAGGGGAUCGCAAGACCUUGCGCCUUAUGAUGAGCCUACAUCGGAUUAGCUUGUUGGUGGGGUAAAGGCCUACCAAGGCGAUGAUCCGUAGCUGGUCUGAGAGGAUGACCAGCCACACUGGGACUGAGACACGGCCCAGGCUCCUACGGGAGGCAGCAGUGGGGAAUAUUGGACAAUGGGGGCAACCCUGAUCCAGCAAUGCCGCGUGUGUGAAGAAGGCCUUAGGGUUGUAAAGCACUUUCAGUGGGGAGGAAGGGUUUAAUGCUAAUAUCAUUGAACAUUGACGUUACCCACAGAAGAAGCACCGGCUAACUCUGUGCCAGCAGCCGCCGUAA
Molecule: ribosomal RNA, 508 nt
Filed under: uncultured bacterium
Lineage: Bacteria
Description: partial 16S ribosomal RNA
Rfam family: Bacterial small subunit ribosomal RNA
Source: RNAcentral